RNAcentral lists this ribosomal RNA (1430 nucleotides) under human gut metagenome. RNAcentral describes it as "bacterial LSU rRNA". It matches the Rfam family "Bacterial large subunit ribosomal RNA", at positions 570 to 1983 of the family's 2925-position model. The record is from RNAcentral.
GCAGUCGAAGCACCUUAAGAGUGCGACGGCGUGCCUAUUGAAGAAUGAACCGGCGAGUUACAUUAUGUUGCGAGGUUAAGUGGGAGACACGGAGCCGAAGCGAAAGCGAGUCUUAAUAGGGCGACUAGUAACAUGGUGUAGACCCGAAACCGCAGUGAUCUAUCCAUGGUCAGGUUGAAGCGCAGGUAAAAAUGCGUGGAGGACCGAACCCGUGAGUGUUGAAAAACUUUGGGAUGAACCGUGGAUAGGGGUGAAAUGCCAAUCGAACGCGGAGAUAGCUGGUACUCCCCGAAAUAGCUUUAGGGCUAGCCUCAGGGAAGAUUAUAGACGGUAGAGCACUGAUCUGGCAAGGGGGCGUAAAGCCUACCGACCCUAGUCAAACUUCGAAUGGCUAUAAUUAAGACCCUGGGAGUCAGACUGCGAGUGAUAAGACCCGUAGUCAAGAGGGAAACAGCCCAGACCGCCGACUAAGGUCCCCAAUGCUGUACUAAGUGGAAAAGGAUGUAAGACUUCAUAAACAACCAGGAUGUUGGCUUAGAAGCAGCCACCAUUAAAAGAGUGCGUAAUAGCUCACUGGUCGAGAGGCCUUGCGCCGAAGAUGUCCGGGGCUCAAGUACAGAACCGAAGUCGCGGCAGGAUUAUAUAAUUCUGGGUAGGGGAGCGUUGUAUAUCCGACUGAAGGUGUACCGGAAGGAGCGCUGGAGGAUAUACAAGAGAGAAUGCCGGUAUGAGUAGCGAAAAGAACAGUGAGAAUCUGUUCCACCGAAAGCCUAAGGUUUCCUGAGCAACGCUCGUCGACUCAGGGUAAGUCGGGACCUAAGCCGAGGCAAAAAGCAUAGGCGAUGGACAACAGGUUAAUAUUCCUGUACCGCUUCAAAUCGUUUGAGCAAUGGAGUGACACAGAAGGUAGCUUGAGCACGCGAAUGGAUGUGCGUGUCGAAGGUGGUAGGUUGCAGUAUAGGCAAAUCCGUACUGUAUAAGACCGAGAACUGAUAGAUAGACGAUAUUUCGGUAGAGUCAAAUUCAAGUGAGCCAUGCUGUCGAGAAAAGCUUCUAGUGAGAGAUGAGGCGCCCGUACCGAAACCGACACAGGUAGGCGGGGAGAGAAUCCUAAGGUGCGCGGGACAACCCUCGUUAAGGAACUCGGCAAAUUGUAUCCGUAACUUAGGGAUAAGGAUAGCCGGAGGAUGUGAAGGGAUUUACUUCUGGAGCGUCAGCCGGUGGCACAAGAGAGGCCCAAGCGACUGUUUAGCACAAACACAGGUGCCUGCAAAAGAGAAAUCUGACGUAUAGGUGCUGACACCUGCCCGGUGCUGGAAGGUUAAGAGGAGGGCUUAGAGGAAACUCGAAGGCUUGAAUUGAAGCCCCAGUAAACGGCGGCCGUAACUAUAACGGUCCUAAGGUAGCGAAAUUCCUUGUCGGGUAAGUUC